This 69-nucleotide transfer RNA is filed under the name Marmota marmota marmota (Alpine marmot). It matches the Rfam family "tRNA". From Rfam's summary of the family: Transfer RNA (tRNA) molecules are approximately 80 nucleotides in length. Their secondary structure includes four short double-helical elements and three loops (D, anti-codon, and T loops). RNAcentral also lists the same sequence under 1 other name. The record is from Rfam by way of RNAcentral. Lineage: Eukaryota; Metazoa; Chordata; Mammalia; Rodentia; Sciuridae.
GGGGUUGUGGCUCAGUGGUAGAGCGCUCGACUGGCACCUGGGGGGCACUAGGUUCAAUCCUCAGCCCCA